AGAGUUUGAUCCUGGCUCAGGAUGAACGCUGGCGGUAUGCCUUACACAUGCAAGUCGACGAGAGUUUUUAACUCAAGUGGCGGACGGGUGAGUAACACGUAAGAAUUUGCCUCUAGAGGGGGGUAACAACUGGAAACGGUUGCUAAUACCCCAUAUGCUUUCGAGUGAAAUGGAUUCCGCCUAGAGAGAAGCUUGCGGCUGAUUAGCUUGUUGGUGAGGUAAUGGCUCACCAAGCGACGAUCAGUAUCUGGUUUGAGAGGACGAUCAGACACACUGGAACUGAGACACGGUCCGACUCCUACGGGAGGCAGCAGUGGGGAAUUUUCCGCAAUGGGCGAAAGCCUGACGGAGCAUACCGCGUGAGGGAUGACGGCCUAUGGGUUGUAAACCUCUUUUUUCAGGGAGGAAUUAUGACGUGUACCUGAAGAAUAAGCAUCGGCUAACUCCGUGCCAGCAGCCGCGGUAA
RNAcentral lists this ribosomal RNA (466 nucleotides) under uncultured diatom. Its description in RNAcentral is "bacterial SSU rRNA". It matches the Rfam family "Bacterial small subunit ribosomal RNA", at positions 8 to 523 of the family's 1533-position model. The record is from RNAcentral. Lineage: Eukaryota; Bacillariophyta.